UACGGAGGGGGCUAGCGUUGUUCGGAAUUACUGGGCGUAAAGCGCGCGUAGGCGGAGCUGCAAGUCGGGGGUGAAAUCCCGAGGCUCAACCUCGGAACUGCCUUCGAUACUGCGGGUCUCGAGUCCGGGAGAGGUGAGUGGAAUUCCUAGUGUAGAGGUGAAAUUCGUAGAUAUUAGGAAGAACACCAGUGGCGAAGGCGGCUCACUGGCCCGGUACUGACGCUGAGGCGCGAAAGCGUGGGGAGCAAACAGG
This 253-nucleotide ribosomal RNA is filed under the name uncultured bacterium. RNAcentral describes it as "partial 16S ribosomal RNA". It matches the Rfam family "Bacterial small subunit ribosomal RNA", at positions 524 to 776 of the family's 1533-position model. The record is from RNAcentral.